AGUGAACGCUGGCGGUAGGCCUAACACAUGCAAGUCGAACGGCAGCACAGUAAGAGCUUGCUCUUACGGGUGGCGAGUGGCGGACGGGUGAUGAAUACAUCGGAAUCUACUUUUUCGUGGGGGAUAACGUAGGGAAACUUACGCUAAUACCGCAUACGACCUACGGGUGAAAGCAGGGGAUCUUCGGACCUUACGCGAUUGAAUGAGCCGAUGGCGGAUUAGCUAGGUGGGGGGGUAAAGGCCCACCAAGGCGACGAUCCGUUGCUGGUCUGAGAGGAUGAACAGGCACAAUGGAACUGAGAAACGGUCCAGACUCCUACGGGAGGCAGCAGUGGGGAAUAUUGGACAAUGGGCGCAAGCCUGAUCCAGCCAUACCGCGUGGGUGAAGAAGGCCUUCGGGUUGUAAAGCCCUUUUGUUGGGAAAGAAAAGCAGCAGGUUAAUACCCCGCUGUUCUGACGGUACCCAAAGAAUAAGCACCGGCUAACUUCGUG
This 492-nucleotide ribosomal RNA is filed under the name uncultured bacterium. RNAcentral describes it as "partial 16S ribosomal RNA". It matches the Rfam family "Bacterial small subunit ribosomal RNA", at positions 29 to 507 of the family's 1533-position model. The record is from RNAcentral.